ACAAGCGGUGGAGUAUGUGUUUAAUUCGAGGAUACACGAAGAACCUUACCAGGUCUUGACAUACCAUUGACCGGUCUAGAGAUAGACUUUUCGCUUUCGGGCGACAAUGGAUACAGGUGGUGCAUGGUUGUCGUCAGCUCGUGCCGUGAGGUGUUGGGUUAAGUCCCGCAACGAGCGCAACCCCUAUUGUUAGUUGCCAUCAUUCAGUUGGGCACUCUAGCGAGACUGCCGGUAAUAAACCGGAGGAAGGUGGGGAUGACGUCAAAUCAUCAUGCCCCUUAUGACCUGGGCUACACGCGUGCUACAAUGGUUGGUACAACGAGUUGCGAGUCGGUGACGGCGAGCUAAUCUCUUAAAGCCAAUCUCAGUUCGGAUUGUAGGCUGCAACUCGCCUACAUGAAGUCGGAAUCGCUAGUAAUCGCGGAUCAGCACGCCGCGGUGAAUACGUUCCCGGGCCUU
Molecule: ribosomal RNA, 459 nt
Filed under: uncultured Streptococcus sp.
Lineage: Bacteria; Bacillati; Bacillota; Bacilli; Lactobacillales; Streptococcaceae
Description: bacterial SSU rRNA
Rfam family: Bacterial small subunit ribosomal RNA
Source: RNAcentral